This is a long non-coding RNA of Bolinopsis microptera, 1943 nucleotides long. RefSeq lists it as uncharacterized. The transcript is spliced from 7 exons. Lineage: Eukaryota; Metazoa; Ctenophora; Tentaculata; Lobata; Bolinopsidae. The record is from RefSeq and is a predicted model, not a curated record.
UCGUAAACAAACAAUAAAGCCUGUGGUCCCCAGGUAAACUCAGAUAUCAAUUAAAAUACAACAAGUAUACGUGUCAUAUACAUACCUGCUUUAUUAUUUUAUUAUCUAACACUUUCAAUAUCUAUCUCGCAGGCUUUAAGCUUUUAAGGAUAACCUCGGUUUAUAUUUGUAGUUAAAACUUUAAUUCAGGUAUAGAAGUAGAACUUUGUAAUGAAGCAGGCAAAAGUGCGCAGAGACCAACCUGAUGAACGAUUACCCCUCCACAAUAGAUUAGGAUUAAGUAUUUCAGGUUUUUCUCUUAUAAAAAGUGGGGUCAUAGUGGUACCAUAGGCAAUAACAAGAUUUUACGUCCAGUAUAUACAUCAGUUUAUUCAAUAAGUGAGAUAACAACGCGUGAUUGGAAUUAACAAAUUAUGAUUUUGAACUGGAUAUCGAAUCAUUUAUUUUACAUAACAUAGUGCAGUAUUAAGUAUUAAAUCUCACGUCUGACUAUAAUAAGGUUUUACUGUUGAUAAUAUGUUAGUGGUUGCAUUAUUGACUUAUUAAAGUUAUACUUUCAGAUAAACGAGGCCUGUAUAGUGCAUACAUCCAGAAGCAGUCAGAACAACGAACCACUAAGAAAUUACCUUGAUAUCGCCCUAAAUUACUUCCAUCUAUGAGAGCAGUUGGUGGUUACAAUUUUACUCGUACUUGUCAAUUUUGAAGAUUUUGAAUCUGCGAACGACAGCAGACAGGAAACCACUGCACAGGGAGUUCUGACAAUCAUUUCGAAAUCUUUUAUGAUUUAACUUUCUUUGCAAUAAUCUCUCUUAUUCAAUGAUCACGAAUUUAAACGAUGUUUCUGUUUUAAAACAACAAAUUUUUAAAUUCAUAGAUUCUAGCAAUCUAGUAGUGAUGAAUAAUUUCCAAUCCCCAGGAAAUUUCUCGAAGAACCAAGACACGGAUGUGUGCACAUCAGUCGAAAUGCACCGGUCGAAUUUUUAGUUUGUCCUUAAAGCGAUUUGUCCAUUAGAACGAUUCGAAUGAGGAGACAGUUUUCUCCCACAAAAAGUUGUGAUAAAAAAUAUCUUUCAUUUAUUCAUCACUUUUAAAUCAAUAUAUUAUUAUCUGGACGAACUAAAAACGGGAGAAAAAAGUUGGACGCUUGUUUCCAUAAAAAUGUUGACCGGUGCAUUUCGACUGAUGUGCACAUAACCGCGUGAGACGAAGGACAAAAAGUUUACCAGUGUGUGGAAAGUAACACACACCUCAGGAAGAGCAGCAAGGUCGGCAGGCAAGAUGAAUUGAGAUAAUUCAUUAUAGAUGAACCAUUUCCAUAUCUUCUCCGUGAUCAGUUUUACGGUUGAAGUCAGUAGUGAACGGUACCCAAACUGAACCGCGGGAAAACAGCUCUAUCUUUUCGAGUACCGACACGGUUUUAACAAUUCAGACCAGUAAAAUGUUAAGGGGCGGACGACGAUAAAAUGUUUGAGUAACAGUAACAAACUCGUAAAGUAAACCAACUAAACAAAUUGAAACCUUGAAGUAGAGCAGCUGUUUGAGAGCCAAGACAGAGUUCCAACAAUCAGACCAUCCAAAUCCUUAUCUCACUAAUCAGCCUCAGCUUUAAAAGAAAAAGAUUCAUUCAAUCUAAAGCCUCUGCAGGAUACAAUAAUAUCUGAAACUAUGAACAGACACAAAUCUCACUAUCCCAGCCAUCUCCUAGGGAAACCAGGAACAAAUCUCACUAUCCCAGCCAUCUCAGAAGGAAACUAGGAACAAAUCUCACUAUCCCAGCCAUCUCCUAGGGAAACCAGGAACAAAUCUCACUAUCCCAGCCAUCUCAGAAGGAAACUAGGAACAAAUCUCACUAUCCCAGCCAUCUCAGAAGGAAACUAGGAACAAAUCUCACUAUCCCAGCCAUCUCAGAGGGAAACUAGGAACAAAUCUCACUAUCCCAGCCA